Molecule: non-coding RNA, 1378 nt
Organism: Ciona intestinalis (vase tunicate)
Lineage: Eukaryota; Metazoa; Chordata; Ascidiacea; Phlebobranchia; Cionidae
Source: RefSeq, a predicted model, not a curated record
AAAAGGCCUUCCAUCUUCCCCCACCCUACUAUACAUUCUCUUUAGGAAUACAAAACAAUAACUUACCGUCGCGGUAAAAUACGACCUUGUAUAUUUAGAAACGAAUGUAUGACCUUGCUGCUGCGUAUAAUGUAUCCUUACUGGCGUGUGUAAAAUAUUACUCGAGCUAUUCGUUUGUACAGUACGAAGUACAAGCUUUGCGAGUACAAUAAGCUAACGAACACAGUAUUGCUUGACGACUGUACACACGACGACCGUUUGUCUUCAACGAAUUUACCGCAAACUAUUGGAUCGGAUACGAGUUUUAACGCAGAGUUAAAUCAAUGUUAAAAAACCUCUGCCAACACGAAAAUAUGGCUUUAAAAACGGGUUAUAGGUAUAGGUCAGUCUGCGUCGCAGAGACAGUAUACAUUUUUACAAAUAUUCUAAAUUUCAACAAUAAUUUUUUCUACAAAAACGCUAAAUCUUUUAGCGCUGAGGAAAUAAACUAAAUCUGAUUUAUUUCUGAGGACCUCUUGUCUAUGGCGCCAGCGCUUUGGGCCAUACUUGUGAGGGCACUGACUCAAAAGAUAAGAGGGGUGGAACAGAUUUAGCUGUCUUAGUUUGGUCUCCUGGUCUUGCUGAUUGCUUUGUGCUUACCUAAGUUGCAUAACUAACUAACGAAUGUAAAGUCUGAAAAGCAAAAUGACAAUUUAAAAAUUCAUUAUCAAAAACUAGCUUUACAAUUACUUCAAAUUCCAGUUAUACAAUUUCUAAAACUCUUUUUCUUUUUGUAAUCUAUUCAAAAACUGUAAAUACUAAAUACCUUCAACUUUGUACAAAUUUUGCUGCUGAUUAAGCUGUUAUUUGAUAAAUACUUGAGCAGUGAUACCAAUAUUUAAUUGCUUCCCCAAACAGCUUAAGUACUUCCCGUUAUUUCAAAGAAGAUACAAUCAAGUGUCACAGGAAAACUUAAACUGUUUAUGAAUACCUUAACCUUACACAACUGAUCAAAAACUGUAAAAAGUAGAGACCGACCGAUAUCACUUUUUUCCACCGAUACCGAUACCGAUAUUUUUAGCUUUUACCGAUACCGAUAUUUUACCGAUAUUUGUCACUAUAGCGAAACAUAUGAAAUGAUCAGUUUUAAUCAAAAGUAAUGCCUGUAUUCAAGAUAUUGCAAGUUAUAGAGAAAAAUUGGUUGGUCUACAUGUUUUUAGAAAACAUGCAUGUUCUUAGGAAGGUGUUGCUUUUGUACGAAACUAGGACGCACAUGAACGCUAAACUAAAACGCACGUGGACAUUAAACUAUGACACACGUGGACGUUAAACUACGACGCACGUAAAGGUCAAACUACGACGCACGUAAAGGUCAAAACUACGACGCACGUAAAGGUCA